This 207-nucleotide long non-coding RNA is filed under the name Oryza brachyantha (malo sina). RNAcentral's name for it is "long non-coding RNA (OBRA_LNC002393)". Lineage: Eukaryota; Viridiplantae; Streptophyta; Magnoliopsida; Poales; Poaceae. The record is from RNAcentral.
AACAAGUUAUAAUUUCUUUUCUGGAAGCUUAUCUCAAGAGAACUCUAAGGUUAAGCGUGCUUGGCCUGAAGCAAUCUUGGGAUGGGUGACCGACCGAAAAGUCAUUCUCGGGUGCGUGUAUGAGUGAGGACAAAGUGUGAAGAAAAGAUCCCCAAUCUUGGGAUGGGAAAGAUAUGUGUGUUGGUUGUGUGAGGGAAGUCUUGAUCU